Non-coding RNA from Mycena maculata, 91 nucleotides. Lineage: Eukaryota; Fungi; Basidiomycota; Agaricomycetes; Agaricales; Mycenaceae. The record is from the annotation of a GenBank genome assembly.
UCUUGACUAGUAUAUCGGUUCAGUACACCCGCUUGUCAUUUAUGUAUUUGAUUGAGCGCGGGAGAGCAGGGUUCGACUCCCUGGUCGAGAG